UCUGGGUGUGGUAGGGCACGCCUGUAAUCCCAGUGGCUUGGGAGGCUGAGGCAGGAGGAUUGCAAGUUCAAAGGCAGCCUCAGCAACUUAAUGAGACCCUAACCAACUUAGUAAGAACCUGUCUGUA
Molecule: small RNA, 127 nt
Filed under: Marmota monax (woodchuck)
Lineage: Eukaryota; Metazoa; Chordata; Mammalia; Rodentia; Sciuridae
Source: RNAcentral